RNAcentral lists this ribosomal RNA (1534 nucleotides) under Monocelis lineata. RNAcentral describes it as "SSU rRNA". It matches the Rfam family "Eukaryotic small subunit ribosomal RNA", at positions 168 to 1723 of the family's 1831-position model. The record is from RNAcentral. Lineage: Eukaryota; Metazoa; Platyhelminthes; Proseriata; Monocelididae.
UACAUGCAACAAUGCCCAACCCUCACGGGAAGGGUGCACUUAUUAGAUCAAGACCAACCGGGUUUCGGCUCGAAGUUUUGAUGACUCUGGAUAAUUGUUUCGAUCGCACGGCCUUUGUGUCGGCGACGUUUCUUUCAAAUGUCUGCCCUAUCAACUAUAGAUGGUAGAUAAAUUGUCUACCAUGGUGAUAACGGGUAACGGGGAAUCAGGGUUCGAUUCCGGAGAGGGAGCCUGAGAAACAGCUACCACAUCCAAGGAAGGCAGCAGGCGCGCAAAUUACCCACUCUCAAAACGAGGAGGUAGUGACAAUAAAUAACGAUGCGGGACUCAAUCGAGGCCCCGUAAUCGGAAUGAGUACACUUUAAAUCCUUUAACGAGGAUCAAUUGGAGGGCAAGUCUGGUGCCAGCAGCCGCGGUAAUUCCAGCUCCAAUAGCGUAUAUUAAAGUUGUUGCAGUUAAAAAGCUCGUAGUUGGAUCUAAGGAUUUGGACGGAUGGUACGCUUUAGGGUGUCACUGUCUGUCUGGCCUAUAUUAGUCGUGGAAGCCUUUAGUGCUCUUCAUUGAGUGCUUUGGGUGCCCGACGCAAUUACUUUGAGAAAAUUAGAGUGCUUAAAGCAGGCAUAAUGCUUGUAUACUGUUGCAUGGAAUAAUGAAAUAGGAGUUUGCUUCUAUUUUGUUGGUUUUCGGAAGUGAACUAAUGAUUAACGGGGACAGACGGGGGCAUUUGUAUGGAGGCGAUAGAGGUGAAAUUCUGUGACCGUCUCCAGACAAACUACUGCGAAAGCAUUUGCCAGGAAUGUUUUCAUUAAUCAAGAACGAAGUCAGAGGUUCGAAGACGAUCAGAUACCGUCCUAGUUCUGACCAUAAAUGAUGCCAUCUAGUAAUUCCCGAAGUUUGCUUGUACGAACUUGGGAGCGGCCCCCGCGAAAGCAAAGAUUUUGGGUUCCGGGGGAAGUAUGGUUGCAAAGCUGAAACUUAAAGGAAUUGACGGAAGGGCACCACCAGGAGUGGAGCCUGCGGCUUAAUUUGACUCAACACGGGAAACCUCACCCGGCCCGGACACUGUAAUGAUUGACAGAUUAACAGCUCUUUCUUGAUUUGGUGGUUGGUGGUGCAUGGCCGUUCUUAGUUGGUGGAGUGAUUUGUCUGGUUAAUUCCGAUAACGAACGAGACUCUACCCUGCUAAAUAGUACGCAGAUAAUAAUUCUGUCUGUGCUGACUUCUUAGAGGGACUAACGGCGUUUAGCCGUGUGAGAAAGAGCAAUAACAGGUCUGUGAUGCCCUUAGAUGUUCGGGGCCGCACGCGCGCUACACUAAUUACAGCAACGGGUAUGCUCCUGGUUAGAAAUGACUGGGUAACCCGAUUGAAUCGUAAUUGUGACAGGGAUCGAGGUUUGCAAUUAUCUCUCGUGAACGAGGAAUUCCCAGUAAGCGCAAGUCAUUAGCUUGUGCUGAUUACGUCCCUGCCCUUUGUACACACCGCCCGUCGCUACUACCGAUUGAACGGUUUAGUGAGGUCCUUGGAUUGACUGUA